GACGAACGCUGGCGGCGUGCUUAACACAUGCAAGUCGAACGGAAAGGCCCUGCUUUUGUGGGGUGCUCGAGUGGCGAACGGGUGAGUAACACGUGAGUAACCUGCCCUUGACUUUGGGAUAACUUCAGGAAACUGGGGCUAAUACCGGAUAGGAGCUCCUGCUGCAUGGUGGGGGUUGGAAAGUUUCGGCGGUUGGGGAUGGACUCGCGGCUUAUCAGCUUGUUGGUGGGGUAGUGGCUUACCAAGGCUUUGACGGGUAGCCGGCCUGAGAGGGUGACCGGCCACAUUGGGACUGAGAUACGGCCCAGACUCCUACGGGAGGCAGCAGUGGGGAAUAUUGCACAAUGGGCGGAAGCCUGAUGCAGCAACGCCGCGUGCGGGAUGACGGCCUUCGGGUUGUAAACCGCUUUCGCCUGUGACGAAGCGUGAGUGACGGUAAUGGGUAAAGAAGCACGGCUCACUACGUG
Molecule: ribosomal RNA, 467 nt
Filed under: uncultured bacterium
Lineage: Bacteria
Description: partial 16S ribosomal RNA
Rfam family: Bacterial small subunit ribosomal RNA
Source: RNAcentral